GUAUCGUAAGAAUAAGGAUCGGCUAACUCCGUGCCAGCAGCCGCGGUAAUACGGAGGAUCCAAGCGUUAUCCGGAAUCAUUGGGUUUAAAGGGUCCGUAGGCGGUUAGAUAAGUCAGUGGUGAAAGCCCAUCGCUCAACGGUGGAACGGCCAUUGAUACUGUUUAACUUGAAUUAUUAGGAAGUAACUAGAAUAUGUAGUGUAGCGGUGAAAUGCUUAGAGAUUACAUGGAAUACCAAUUGCGAAGGCAGGUUACUACUAAUGGAUUGACGCUGAUGGACGAAAGCGUGGGUAGCGAACAGGAUUAGAUACCCUGGUAGUCCACGCCGUAAACGAUGGAUACUAGCUGUUGGGCGCAAGUUCAGUGGCUAAGCGAAAGUGAUAAGUAUCCCACCUGGGGAGUACGUUCGCAAGAAUGAAACUCAAAGGAAUUGACGGGGGCCCGCACAAGCGGUGGAGCAUGUGGUUUAAUUCGAUGAUACGCGAGGAACCUUACCAAGGCUUAAAUGUAGUUUGACCGAUUAGGAAACUAGUCUUUCGCAAGACAAAUUACAAGGUGCUGCAUGGUUGUCGUCAGCUCGUGCCGUGAGGUGUCAGGUUAAGUCCUAUAACGAGCGCAACCCCUGUUGUUAGUUGCCAGCGAGUAAGGUCNGGGAACUCUAACAAGACUGCCAGUGCAAACUGUGAGGAAGGUGGGGAUGACGUCAAAUCAUCACGGCCCUUACGCCUU
Molecule: ribosomal RNA, 729 nt
Filed under: uncultured bacterium
Lineage: Bacteria
Description: bacterial SSU rRNA
Rfam family: Bacterial small subunit ribosomal RNA
Source: RNAcentral